RNAcentral lists this ribosomal RNA (497 nucleotides) under uncultured bacterium. Its description in RNAcentral is "partial 16S ribosomal RNA". It matches the Rfam family "Bacterial small subunit ribosomal RNA", at positions 28 to 507 of the family's 1533-position model. The record is from RNAcentral.
GAUGAACGCUGGCGGCGUGCCUAAUACAUGCAAGUCGAGCGAACGGACGAGAAGCUUUCUUUUCUGAUGUUAGCGGCGGACGGGUGAGUAACACGUGGAUAACCUACCUAUAAGACUGGGAUAACUUCGGGAAACCGGAGCUAAUACCGGAUAAUAUUUUGAACCGCAUGGUUCAAAAGUGAAAGACGGUCUUGCUGUCACUUAUAGAUGGAUCCGCGCUGCAUUAGCUAGUUGGUAAGGUAACGGCUUACCAAGGCAACGAUGCAUAGCCGACCUGAGAGGAUGAUCGGCCACACUGGAACUGAGACACGGUCCAGACUCCUACGGGAGGCAGCAGUAGGGAAUAUUCCGCAAUGGGCGAAAGCCUGACGGAGCAACACCGCGUGAGUGAUGAAGGUCUUCGGAUCGUAAAACUCUGUUAUUAGGGAAGAACAUAUGUGUAAGUAACUGUGCACAUCUUGACGGUACCUAAUCAGAAAGCCACGGCUAACUACGUG